GACGAACGCUGGCGGCGUGCUUAACACAUGCAAGUCGAACGGAAAGGCCCUGCUUGCAGGGUACUCGAGUGGCGAACGGGUGAGUAACACGUGGGUGAUCUGCCCUGCACUUCGGGAUAAGCCUGGGAAACUGGGUCUAAUACCGGAUAGGAGCCAUUUUUAGUGUGAUGGUUGGAAAGUUUUUUCGGUGUAGGAUGAGCUCGCGGCCUAUCAGCUUGUUGGUGGGGUAAUGGCCUACCAAGGCGGCGACGGGUAGCCGGCCUGAGAGGGUGGACGGCCACAUUGGGACUGAGAUACGGCCCAGACGCCUACGGGAGGCAGCAGUGGGGAAUAUUGCACAAGGGGCGCAAGCCUGAUGCAGCGACGCCGCGUGGGGGAUGACGGCCUUCGGGUUGUAAACUCCUUUCGCUAGGGACGAAGCUUUUUGUGACGGUACCUAGAGAAGAAGCACCGGCUAACUACGUG
This 465-nucleotide ribosomal RNA is filed under the name uncultured bacterium. RNAcentral describes it as "partial 16S ribosomal RNA". It matches the Rfam family "Bacterial small subunit ribosomal RNA", at positions 28 to 507 of the family's 1533-position model. The record is from RNAcentral.